RNAcentral lists this ribosomal RNA (775 nucleotides) under Haloferax chudinovii. Its description in RNAcentral is "bacterial SSU rRNA". It matches the Rfam family "Archaeal small subunit ribosomal RNA", at positions 52 to 828 of the family's 1478-position model. The record is from RNAcentral. Lineage: Archaea; Methanobacteriati; Methanobacteriota; Halobacteria; Halobacteriales; Haloferacaceae.
UGCUAGUUGCACGAGUUCACACUCGUGGCGAAAAGCUCAGUAACACGUGGCCAAACUACCCUACAGAGAACGAUAACCUCGGGAAACUGAGGCUAAUAGUUCAUACGGGAGUCAUGCUGGAAUGCCGACUCCCCGAAACGCUCAGGCGCUGUAGGAUGUGGCUGCGGCCGAUUAGGUAGACGGUGGGGUAACGGCCCACCGUGCCGAUAAUCGGUACGGGUUGUGAGAGCAAGAGCCCGGAGACGGAAUCUGAGACAAGAUUCCGGGCCCUACGGGGCGCAGCAGGCGCGAAACCUUUACACUGCACGCAAGUGCGAUAAGGGGACCCCAAGUGCGAGGGCAUAUAGUCCUCGCUUUUCUCGACUGUAAGGCGGUCGAGGAAUAAGAGCUGGGCAAGACCGGUGCCAGCCGCCGCGGUAAUACCGGCAGCUCAAGUGAUGACCGAUAUUAUUGGGCCUAAAGCGUCCGUAGCCGGCCACGAAGGUUCAUCGGGAAAUCCGCCAGCUCAACUGGCGGGCGUCCGGUGAAAACCACGUGGCUUGGGACCGGAAGGCUCGAGGGGUACGUCCGGGGUAGGAGUGAAAUCCUGUAAUCCUGGACGGACCACCGAUGGCGAAAGCACCUCGAGAAGACGGAUCCGACGGUGAGGGACGAAAGCUAGGGUCUCGAACCGGAUUAGAUACCCGGGUAGUCCUAGCUGUAAACGAUGCUCGCUAGGUGUGGCACAGGCUACGAGCCUGUGCUGUGCCGUAGGGAAGCCGAGAAGCGAGCCGCC